UAAGAAAUAUUGGUCAAUGGACGAAAGUCUGAACCAGCCAUGCCGCGUGGAGGAUGAAGGCCCUCUGGGUUGUAAACUUCUUUUAUAGGGGACGGAAAAGGGUCUUUCUAGAUCAACUGACGGUACCAUGUGAAUAAGCACCGGCUAACUCCGUGCCAGCAGCCGCGGUAAUACGGAGGGUGCAAGCGUUAUCCGGAUUCACUGGGUUUAAAGGGUGCGUAGGUGGGUUGGUAAGUCAGUGGUGAAAUCUCCGAGCUUAACUUGGAAACUGCCAUUGAUACUAUCAAUCUUGAAUAUUGUGGAGGUUAGCGGAAUAUGUCAUGUAGCGGUGAAAUGCUUAGAUAUGACAUAGAACACCAAUUGCGAAGGCAGCUGGCUACGCAUAUAUUGACACUGAGGCACGAAAGCGUGGGGAUCAAACA
RNAcentral lists this ribosomal RNA (422 nucleotides) under uncultured bacterium. RNAcentral's name for it is "bacterial SSU rRNA". It matches the Rfam family "Bacterial small subunit ribosomal RNA", at positions 355 to 774 of the family's 1533-position model. The record is from RNAcentral.